CAGAGCUGAUGUGGGGCUUGAACGUGUAAAACAACAAAUCAUGACCUGAGCCAAAGUCGGAUGCUUAACUGACUGAGCUACCCAGGGGCCCUGUUAAAACCUAAAAUGUUUUAAUGAAAUGUAGCAAUCAUUGUUUCGAGAAGUGUACUCUAAAAGCUCACUCCGUGGAUACCAUCAUUUCUCCCCAGAUAUUUCUGUGAUUGCAAAUAUGUAUUUUCAAGGAUUUGUGAAGAAACUGGAGUGUGUGCAAAAAUCACAAGAAAUUGGACAAUGUUUCUGUUUUGAAACUUCUGCUACCGACUGUAACAGAAAUGAGACUACUAAUGUUACAAUAAAUCCUAUGCUGCAUCUUCUAUCUAAACCAACAUUCACAUCAAAACUAUUAUUGAUUAGCCAUCUCACAGCAUUUCCACCCCUUGGUAAUCCUAGUAAAGUGUAUGAGGUUUAAAUCUGUUGGUGGCUGACAAAGGUGUGAACUCAGAGCAUUUAUAGUCCAUUUAGAACAAUGUCUCUCAAAGUCAAAAACAACCACCGCUUCUCAAUAUUGGCAUUGUAUGAGUUUCAUGUUUGCUUUCCUUUGUUCAGCUCAAGUUUGGAAAUGUGUGAAAAUGUACAAAAAGCACGAGAAUUGAGAAGCACUUGACUUCUGAGGUAGGAAAUUAGAAAUAAUUCUUAAUCUUAAUAUUUCCCCUUCUUGAUGUCGUGCCACAAUUCAGGUAAGUUUCCUUUGAUUUAUUCUUUAUAUAGUGUGCAAUCAAGUUUUCUCCUUUCCAUUAUGUUCUGUUGUUUGUAUUACUCCUAGAUAACCAGGAAAGUGUAGGGAGACAUAUAUUGUCAGGAGACAAUAUAUGGGAAAUCUGAUGGAUUUCAAAGUAUUAAGUGAUAGAUCAAUCCAAGAGUCAUUAUUUGUUGUCUACUUUUCUCCUUGUAUUUGAUAUCCAAAAUCAAGACCACAGGCCCAGCUCUCUUCUAAAUUUGUGUCAUUAAAGAAAAUUUAAGACCACACCCUCUAUCAGAAGCCCCCACAAGUUGUCCUGGGAGUGCAAAGUACAAACAUCAUUUGUCUUGGGACAAAAGGAAAGGUUUCUACAGGUAGGAACAAUUGAGGGGACAUUGGGUGUAGCGGAGUUUGGCCACACAGUAAGGAUGGAUCAAAUUCCCCGGAAAAUGGGAAGGCUGAACAUGUACCUACGAAUUGAAACAGCUGCAGUUUUUAAUCGUCCUGCGAAGAAGCAUGGGGUGAGGCUACCCCUGGUUAUCAGGAGACAGAAAUGUUUACUGAACGGAGCAACUGCAGGAUCAGGUGGGUGUUUGCCUUCCGGUGGGCAUUUCAGAAGGUAAGGGUGGAUGCCUUAAGCCUGCAUGAGGCCAGGGAACAGGGAAGUGCUGCCAUCGUCUUUGACAUAGCUCCACCUAGCGGCCAGCCGUGUUUACUACCACUCGGUUCACCCAACCUUCUUCGGGUGUCUGCCAAAGUCACUCAAGAACUACAAUCCCUCCGUUUUCUAGAGUUGAAGAAUAAAGACCCAAAUUAGUGAGACACAACAAAAACUCCUCAAAUUUCAUCAACAGAUCACUAAUAAAGAUAUUUAAAAUGCGUGUAAUUUACCAAAUGUUGUUAUGACCUUCCCAUAUUUUGAAGCUCAAAUCUGUUUAAAAUAUGCUUCGUGGGCUUUGAUACACCGAUAAUCUUAUAUGUUACUGUGCAGGAAAACGUGAUGGCAGUAAGAGAUUUCUACUUUCUAGUCACUGAGUGGCAAAAAAAUCAAAGUGAAGAAUUUAUCUCCUAGGAUUGGAACCAAGCACAGCCAAUUUCCAUCCCCUCCUCAGCUUUGUACCCCACGGUUCCUCAAAACUAGGUUCUGGGCCCACAUGUUUCAAAUCGCUGAGCUAACGUGAGUGAGAAUUCAUAUCCUAUAGAAGCUAAGUGUAUUAAGUAGUAAACCAGAAGGUUUUAAUUUUAAACAGUGAGUCAAAUUGAAAUGGGAAUUUUAUGACACAUUAUGUGCUUGACAGAUGAAGCAUAUUUGUGUAAGCAACAUAACUAUGGAGUAUUGUAUAGAGAGAGUAAUAUUAAUGAAAUUAAAUGUUCAUGUCUGGUUUUGUCCACAAGACAAGGAAAACAUGAUAUUUAUUGACCACAGAUAAUUCUUCACAUUUAUCAAUCCUCACAUUCAAAAUUUCUGAAACUGCUGUCUCUUUUGAAAGUUCGGUUCCAUGUGGAAUAAAAACACAUGUGGCACCAUUCCUGUCAUCAGGAAAUCUCAGUCCUCCCAGAAUUAAAUUAAAACAUAAUCGGAUGAUGAAAUAGGUGAGUCCUGGUAUGGUAGGGUGGCAAGAGGACCCUUUAACAUAAGGAGCCCCUUCUGAAUCAAUCUCAUUUCAGAACUGAGCCCCCUUUGAAAGGAGUUGGAAACCAGAGAAAAAUCUCCUAGAGGAGGAGUCCACUCUAUUGCAACCUCCUUUUUGCUGAUCAUGACUUGGACUGUUGUACGAGAUGUUGAAUUGAGUUUCUCCCAUUGAUUGGUUCAACCUCUCAGCUGCUGCUGUGGGUCUGAGCCACGGCCAGGUUGGAGUGGUUCUGCGAGUUGGGAGGAUCUCUCAGCCUAGACUGGCAAUCGCAGGCAGAAAUAGAAUGGGACCCACCCAUGUCAACUACAGAUUGUCUAGUAGCUCUAUGGUAAAAAGAAACAAGUCAAAAAUCAAAUCAUUGUAAUGGGCAAAAUGGUACCACUUCAACGUGUAUUUGAUUUCAAAAAUACAUUGUUUUUAAAACCUCAA
This is a long non-coding RNA of Felis catus (domestic cat), 2781 nucleotides long. RefSeq lists it as uncharacterized. The record is from RefSeq and is a predicted model, not a curated record. NCBI's taxonomy places the organism in Eukaryota, Metazoa, Chordata, Mammalia, Carnivora, Felidae. The transcript is spliced from 2 exons.